GAUACUCAAUUUAAAGUGAGUAAACAGAAUUCCAUACUCGAUCUCAUAGAUCCCUAUAGAAUUCUGUGGAAAGCCGUAUUCGAUGAAAGUCGUAUGUACGGCUUGGAGGGAGAUCUUUCCUCUCUUUCGAGAUCCACCCUACAAUAUGGGGUCAAAAAGCAAAAAAAAUAA
RNAcentral lists this ribosomal RNA (171 nucleotides) under Triticum aestivum (bread wheat). The record is from RNAcentral. Lineage: Eukaryota; Viridiplantae; Streptophyta; Magnoliopsida; Poales; Poaceae.